Molecule: small RNA, 29 nt
Filed under: Bombyx mori (domestic silkworm)
Lineage: Eukaryota; Metazoa; Arthropoda; Insecta; Lepidoptera; Bombycidae
Description: piRNA piR-bmo-2225129
Source: RNAcentral
UCUACGUCAUUCGCGGACACCCUACCUCC